AUGGUUAACACCAUGUUAGACACUUCGGGUCUAUCCAAGGAAUGGUGGGGGGAGGCGCAAAUGACUGCGUGUCAUGUCCUAAACCGAGUUCCCACAAAGCAUAAGACCAUGACUCCAUUUGAGGAAUGGGAAAAGAAAAGGUUGAAACUCUCUUACCUACGUACUUGGGGUUGUUUGGCGAAACUCAAUAUACCAAUUCCCAAGAAGCGCAAGCUUGGACCAAAAACCGAGGAUUGUGUUCUUAUGGGCUAUGCUUUUCGUAGCAUCGGCUAUAGAUUUUUGAUAAUAAAAUCUGAGGUAUCCGACAUGCAUGUUGGUACGAUUAUGGAAUCAAAUGUUGCAACUUUCUUUGAGGACAUAUUUCCUAUGAAGGAUAUGUCGAGUUCAUCAAAUCAGGAGAUACCUACUCCAUCUAGUGAGGAAUUCACUGUAAUUCCUGAACCCACCAUUGCGAUGGAACACGUUGAUAAUCCUGUUGAGGGUAACAAUGGAACUCCUGUGAGGAGUAAGAGACAGAGGACUGCAAAGUCUUUUGGUGAUGAUUUCAUUGUGUACCUCGUGGAUGACACACCCAGGACUAUUUCAGAAGCCUAUGCAUCUCCUGAUGCUGACUAUUGGAAGGAAGCUGUACGUAGCGAGAUGGAUUCCAUCUUAGCUAACGGUACCUGGGAGAUCACUGACCGUCCAUAUGGGUGCAAAGUUGUAGGAUGUAAGUGGGUGUUCAAGAAGAAGCUUAGACCUGAUGGUACGAUUGAAAAGUACAAGGCACGGCUUGUGGCCAAGGGUUAUACCCAGAAAGAAGGUGAAUACUUCUUUGAUACUUACUCACCCGUGGCUGGACUGACCACAAUUCGGGUGCUACUAUCACUGGCUGCCUCACAUGGUCUUCUCGUCCAUCAAAUGGACGUUAAGACGGCUUUCCUUAAUGGAGAGUUGAAGGAGGAAAUUUACAUGGAUCAGCCAGAUGGUGUUGUAGUACCUGGUCAGGAAGGAAAGGUGUGCAAGUUAUUAAAGUCUUUAUAUGGCCUUAAACAAGCUCCUAAGGAGUGGCAUGAGAAGUUCGAAAGAACAUUAACUGCCGCCGGCUUUGUAGUAAACAAUGAUGACAAGUGCGUGUACUAUCGCUAUGGUGGGGGCGAAGGAGUUAUUCUUUGUCUGUAUGUCGACGACAUAUUGAUCUUUGGAACCAAACUUGACUUAAUCAAGGAGGUUAAGGAUUUCUUAUCUUGCUGUUUUGAGAUGAAGGAUCUAGGAGUAGCUGAUGUUAUCUUAAACAUCAAGCUGUUGAGAGAUGAGAAUGUGCCACGAGGCCUGACAUCUCUUUUGCUGUGA
This 1332-nucleotide ribosomal RNA is filed under the name Triticum aestivum (bread wheat). RNAcentral's name for it is "partial small subunit ribosomal RNA". The record is from RNAcentral. Lineage: Eukaryota; Viridiplantae; Streptophyta; Magnoliopsida; Poales; Poaceae.